GUGGGGAAUCUUCCACAAUGGACGAAAGUCUGAUGGAGCAACGCCGCGUGAGUGAAGAAGGGUUUCGGCUCGUAAAGCUCUGUUGUCGGGGACGAAUGUGCAGUAUUUGAAUAAAGUACUGUAAUGACGGUACCUGACGAGGAAGCCACGGCUAACUACGUGCCAGCAGCCGCGGUAAUACGUAGGUGGCAAGCGUUGUCCGGAAUUAUUGGGCGUAAAGGGAGCGCAGGCGGGAAGGUAAGUCGGUCUUAAAAGUGCGGGGCUCAACCCCGUGAGGGGAUCGAAACUAUCUUUCUUGAGUGCAGGAGAGGAAAGUGGAAUUCCUAGUGUAGCGGUGAAAUGCGUAGAUAUUAGGAGGAACACCAGUGGCGAAGGCGACUUUCUGGACUGUAACUGACGCUGAGGCUCGAAAGCCAGGGGAGCGAACGGGAUUAGAUACCCUGGUAGUCC
This 450-nucleotide ribosomal RNA is filed under the name uncultured bacterium. Its description in RNAcentral is "partial 16S ribosomal RNA". It matches the Rfam family "Bacterial small subunit ribosomal RNA", at positions 354 to 796 of the family's 1533-position model. The record is from RNAcentral.